RNAcentral lists this long non-coding RNA (245 nucleotides) under Homo sapiens (human). RNAcentral's name for it is "HSALNT0087347". The record is from RNAcentral. Lineage: Eukaryota; Metazoa; Chordata; Mammalia; Primates; Hominidae.
UCUGGUUAUUAUUACACUCUUAUAAACUUGAAUUGUUUUUCAAAUGUAUGUUAUAAGUCUGUUUACAUUUGAGUACAAGAAACUCCUUUCCCUGUAGAUAUCAAAAUAAUUUCUGGACUGGAAGAGUGUGGGAGGAUUUGGAGCUGUGCUUAUGGUAUGUGAAGAAUCAAGAUGACAUAGGUGCUGGUUGCAAGCUUGGGAAGGCUCUCCUUAGUUAUUACUACAUGUGUAUAUCAAGGAAAUAA